GUUAUUUCUCAAUAACCGGUUAAUUGUAUCAGCUAUGUUAUUUUUUGCCACCCGUGUCCCGUAGUAAGUACAAGUGUGUUGCAAGUUGAUGGAGUAUGGAGAAAAAGCCAUACAUUGUAUCCGGUGAAGCUCCGGAAUCUGACAGUGGUGGCGAGGAAUUCGCUGUUUCGGAUGCUCCAUACCAACAGGCUGGAACUUCGAGUGCUAGCAACUUGCAAGGCAUAAUUGUCGCAGGAGAAGCGCCCGAGUCGGACGAGGAACGCGAGGAACCUGGUAGUGUGAGCAGCAUCAGUAGUGCUGCAAGUGUUUCUUCAGAAACUUCGCUGACAACAAAUGUGAAAAAAGGCUAUAAGGGAAAGAAAUCGGAAAGCAAAUACAGCUCAUUGCUGCAUAAAAAAUUGCGUGAACGUAACAUUUCACUCUAUAAGAAUAUAUCAGAGUUUGCAUACAGCACUCUCACAAGUGCAGGCAGAGAUCUGAACUUGACAAACCAACAACUUCUCAGAUCGCAGGUACAACUUCAAGAAGCAGCUACAUCUCUUCACGUAUUACAGUCACAUCUCACUCAGCUGCAUACUAAAAUAGCAGCAGUAAGCACUUCUGCCUUUAUACCUCAAAUUUACGUGCAGCAGUGUGAACAGGAAUAACUAUGAUGAAAUAACAGGUGUGAAAACACUCUCUCUCUCUCUCUCUCUCUCUCUCUCUCUGUGUGUGUGUGUGUGUGUGUGUGUGUGUGUGUGUGUGUGUGUGUGUGUGUGUGUGGGGGGGGGGGGGGGGGAGAAUUAAUUUUAGAAGAAUAAGCUGUAUUAACUAACAAGUGCAUGUCAGCUGCUUGAUAAAGAUAUAUUUUUCUUUAUGUUCUUAUGAAAUAGCACCUACGUGUUGUAAUUAAUAAACAUGGUUUCACUGUUGCAAAGAUCUAACAGAUAUGUAAAACACUGACUCUGUAAUCAUAAUACAUAUUUUGCACUUACAGUUUACCAAGAGUUUUCCUAAAACAGGUGUUCGGUUAUGCAUUGCCAAUCAAAGAUCCUGGUAUCAGGUGUGACGCAAAUGUUAUUUCUUUUUGGUGGGAGCUAAUAUCUUGACAUGAUGAAGGUGAUGACAAUUUUCUCGUCUGGACUAGACUGCUGAAAAGAGUUGGACUUAGUACUAUUCUUACAUUGGGCCUAAAAGAUUCUAAUUCUAAAAGUUUACUUAGUAUAUGGUACCCACCAUCAAAUUUGUUAUGUGAUGUGGAACAAAUCCAUUCAGCCACCCAAGGACAAUUGAAGGUGAUUAUGUAGAAAAGUGAAUAUUGGUAAUUAAAGAUCACAUUCUAAAGAUUA
This is an RNA transcript of Schistocerca piceifrons (Central American locust), 1328 nucleotides long. It is a transcript of the gene named biogenesis of lysosome-related organelles complex 1 subunit 3, with no coding region annotated. The transcript is spliced from 5 exons. Lineage: Eukaryota; Metazoa; Arthropoda; Insecta; Orthoptera; Acrididae. The record is from RefSeq and is a predicted model, not a curated record.